Molecule: ribosomal RNA, 515 nt
Filed under: uncultured Bacteroidota bacterium
Lineage: Bacteria; Pseudomonadati; Bacteroidota
Description: bacterial SSU rRNA
Rfam family: Bacterial small subunit ribosomal RNA
Source: RNAcentral
UUGGUGCUUGCACUGAAUGGGAACCGGCGAACGGGUGCGUAACACGUAUGCAACCUACCUAUAACUGGGGAAUAGCCCGAAGAAAUUCGGAUUAAUACCCUAUAAUAUUUAGUCAUCGCAUGAUGAUUAUCUUAAAACUCCGGUGGUUAUAGAUGGGCAUGCGGCCUAUUAGUUUGUUGGCGAGGUAAUGGCUCACCAAGACUACGAUAGGUAGGGGGUCUGAGAGGAUGAUCCCCCACACUGGUACUGAGACACGGACCAGACUCCUACGGGAGGCAGCAGUAGGGAAUAUUGGACAAUGGACGAAAGUCUGAUCCAGCCAUGCCGCGUGCAGGAUGACGGCCCUAUGGGUUGUAAACUGCUUUUAUAUAGGAAGAAACCUUUUUACGUGUAGAAAGCUGACGGUACUAUAUGAAUAAGGACCGGCUAACUCCGUGCCAGCAGCCGCGGUAAUACGGAGGGUCCAAGCGUUGUCCGGAUUUAUUGGGUUUAAAGGGUACGUAGGUGGAACUUUA